UACGUAGGGUGCGAGCGUUGUCCGGAAUUAUUGGGCGUAAAGAGCUCGUAGGCGGUGUGUCACGUCGUUCGUGAAAACCUGCAGCUUAACUGUGGGCGUGCGGUCGAUACGGGCAUCACUGGAGUUCGGCAGGGGAGACUGGAAUUCCUAGUGUAGCGGUGAAAUGCGCAGAUAUCAGGAGGAACACCGGUGGCGAAGGCGGGUCUCUGGGCCGAUACUGACGCUGAGGAGCGAAAGCGUGGGGGAGCAAACAGG
This 255-nucleotide ribosomal RNA is filed under the name uncultured bacterium. RNAcentral's name for it is "partial 16S ribosomal RNA". It matches the Rfam family "Bacterial small subunit ribosomal RNA", at positions 524 to 776 of the family's 1533-position model. The record is from RNAcentral.